RNAcentral lists this ribosomal RNA (1317 nucleotides) under Triticum aestivum (bread wheat). Its description in RNAcentral is "partial small subunit ribosomal RNA". Lineage: Eukaryota; Viridiplantae; Streptophyta; Magnoliopsida; Poales; Poaceae. The record is from RNAcentral.
AUGAUUAAUCUCUUUAAUUCAAUGGAAGGCAAUGGUAUUGUAGCUGACUGCAAUGUUUUCAACAUAUUAAUUGAUGCAUAUGCUAAAUGUGGAAUGAUGCAUGAAGCUAUGCUCAUAUUUACCAAAAUGCGGGAACAAGGAGUGAGUCCGAAUGUAUGCACCUAUGCAACUGUAAUAGCUGCACUUUGCAGAAUGGGUAGGCUGUCUGAUGCAAUGGGCAAAUUAAAUGAGAUGAUUGCUACGGGAUUACAACCGGACGUGGCUAUUUAUACAUCCCUAAUUCAGGGCUUCUGUACACAUGGUGAUUUGGGGAAAGUGAAGGAGCUGGUUUCUGAAAUGAUGAACAAAGGUAUGCCUCGUCCAAACAUUGUGUUCUUCAGCUCAGUAAUAAACAGUCUAUGCAAAGAAGGAAGAGUUACAGAUGUACACAGUAUCUUCGACUUGGCUAUAAACAUUGGUGAGAGGCCUGACGUUAUUACAUUUACUUCACUGAUUGACGGAUAUUGUUUAGUUGGCAAGAUGGAUAAAGCAUUCAAAGUACUUGAUGACAUGGUAUCAGCUGGCAUUGAGCCUGAUGUUUAUACAUAUACUACCCUUCUUGAUGGCUAUUCUAGAAAUGGAAGGAUUGAUGAUGGGUUGACACUAUUCAGCGAAAUGAUGCAUAAAAAAAUUAAACCUACAACUGCUACAUAUGGCACCUUACUAAAUGGGUUGUUUCGUGCUUGGAGAACUGCUUCUGCGAAGAAAAUGAUCCAUGAGAUGAUUGAAAGUGGAACAACAGUGAGCCUUUCAAUAUACGCUAUAAUUCUUGAAGGACUUCGUAGAAAUAAUUGCACUGAUGAAGCAAUCACGCUGUUCCAGAAAGUACGUGCAAUGAAUAUAAAAUUGGAUGUUGCAAUACUCAAUACCAUGAUCAAUGCAAUGUUUAAGGUUCAAAGAAGAGAAGAAGCUAAUGAUUUGUUUGCUUCAAUAUCGGCCAGUGGAUUGGUACCUAAUGCUUCUACCUACCGCACAAUGAUAACAAAUCUUCUAAAAGAAGGAUUAGUGGAAGAAGCUGAAAACAUGCUCUCAUCAAUGGAGAAGAGCUGUUGUGCUCCGGACUCUCGUCUUAUUAAUGAUACCAUCAGAAUAUUAUUGGAACAAGGUGAGGUCGUCAAGGCUGGAAAUUAUAUGUCUAGAGUUGAUGGCAAGAGCAUCUCACUUGAAGCUUCAACUACUUCGCUGCUGAUACGUCUCUUUUCAAGGGAAGGAAAAUAUAGGGAGAAAAUAAAAUUGCUCCCUGUAAAGUAUCAAUUUUUUGGUGGAGCUACAGUUGAG